CCGCCCGUCGCUCCUACCGAUUGAAUGAUCCGGUGAAGUGUUCGGAUCGCGGCGACGUGGGUGGUUCGCCGUCUGCGACGUCGCGAGAAGUCCACUAAACCUUAUCAUUUAGAGGAAGGAGAAGUCGUAACAAGGUUUCCGUAGGUGAACCUGCGGAAGGAUCAUUGUCGAUACCUUAUCGUAAACAGAACGACCCGCGAACGAUUGAUCAUCACUCUCGGUGGUCCGGUGUCUUAGCUGAUUCCGUGCCCGCCGAUUCCGUGGUUAUGCGCGUGGUCUCAGCCAAGAUUCAUAUCUCGGUUGGGUCAUGCGCCUAGCUUCCGGAUAUCACCAAACCCCGGCACGAAAAGUGUCAAGGAACAUGCAACUAAACAGCCUGUGUUCGCCUACCCGGAGACGGUGUUUGCGUGGACGCUGUGCUGCAAUCUAAAGUCUAAAACGACUCUCGGCAACGGAUAUCUCGGCUCUCGCAUCGAUGAAGAACGUAGCGAAAUGCGAUACUUGGUGUGAAUUGCAGAAUCCCGUGAACCAUCGAGUCUUUGAACGCAAGUUGCGCCCUAAGCCUUCUGGCCGAGGGCACGUCUGCCUGGGUGUCACAAAUCGUCGUCCCCCCAUCCUCUCGAGGAUAUGGGACGGAAGCUGGUCUCCCGUGUGUUACCGCACGCGGUUGGCCAAAAUCCGAGCUAAGGACGCAAGGAGCGUCCCGACAUGCGGUGGUGAAUUAAAACCUCGUCAUACCGUCGGCCGUYCCUGUCCUAAUGCUCUCGAUGACCC
RNAcentral lists this ribosomal RNA (774 nucleotides) under Isatis tinctoria. RNAcentral describes it as "eukaryotic LSU rRNA". Lineage: Eukaryota; Viridiplantae; Streptophyta; Magnoliopsida; Brassicales; Brassicaceae. The record is from RNAcentral.